GACGAACGCUGGCGGCGUGCUUAACACAUGCAAGUCGAACGGAAAGGCCCUGCUUUUGUGGGGUGCUCGAGUGGCGAACGGGUGAGUAACACGUGAGUAACCUGCCCUUGACUUUGGGAUAACUUCAGGAAACUGGGGCUAAUACCGGAUAGGAGCUCCUGCUGCAUGGUGGGGGUUGGAAAGUUUCGGCGGUUGGGGAUGGGCUCGCGGCUUAUCAGCUUGUUGGUGGGGUAGUGGCUUACCAAGGCUUUGACGGGUAGCCUGCCUGAGAGGGUGACCGGCCACAUUGGGACUGAGGUACGGCCCAGACUGCUACGGGAGGCAGCGGUGGGGAAUAUUGCACAAUGGGCGGAAGCCUGAUGCAGCAACGCCGCGUGCGGGAUGACGGCCUUCGGGUUGUGAACCGCUUUCGCCUGAGACGAAGCGUGAGUGACGGUAAUGGGUAAAGAAGCACCGGCUAACUACGUG
This 468-nucleotide ribosomal RNA is filed under the name uncultured bacterium. Its description in RNAcentral is "partial 16S ribosomal RNA". It matches the Rfam family "Bacterial small subunit ribosomal RNA", at positions 28 to 507 of the family's 1533-position model. The record is from RNAcentral.